GUCGUGAGACAGUUCGGUCCCUAUCCGUCGUGGGCGCAGGAAAUUUGAGAGGAGCUGUCCUUAGUACGAGAGGACCGGGAUGGACGCACCGCUGGUGUACCAGUUGUCUUGCCAAAGGCAUAGCUGGGUAGCUAUGUGCGGAAGGGAUAAGUGCUGAAAGCAUCUAAGCAUGAAGCCCCCCUCAAGAUGAGAUUUCCCUGUUACUUUGUAACGUAAGAUCCCUGAAAGAUGAUCAGGUUGAUAGGUCAGAGGUGGAAGCGCGGUGACGUGUGGAGCUGACUGAUACUAAUCGAUCGAGGACUUAACCUAAUACAA
Molecule: ribosomal RNA, 315 nt
Filed under: Bacillus sp. SA1-12
Lineage: Bacteria; Bacillati; Bacillota; Bacilli; Caryophanales; Bacillaceae
Description: bacterial LSU rRNA
Rfam family: Bacterial large subunit ribosomal RNA
Source: RNAcentral